ACGCUCGACACCUACGGGAGGCAGCAGUAGGGAAUCUUCCACAAUGGGCGCAAGCCUGAUGGAGCAACACCGCGUGAGUGAAGAAGGGUUUCGGCUCGUAAAGCUCUGUUGUUAGAGAAGAACGUGCGUGAGAGUAACUGUUCACGCAGUGACGGUAUCCAACCAGAAAGUCACGGCUAACUACGUGCUAGCAGCCGCGGUAAUCUGAGCGGGCUGGCAAGGC
RNAcentral lists this ribosomal RNA (223 nucleotides) under uncultured bacterium. Its description in RNAcentral is "partial 16S ribosomal RNA". It matches the Rfam family "Bacterial small subunit ribosomal RNA", at positions 328 to 539 of the family's 1533-position model. The record is from RNAcentral.